This 58-nucleotide small nuclear RNA is filed under the name Staphylococcus aureus. RNAcentral's name for it is "SARs254". Lineage: Bacteria; Bacillati; Bacillota; Bacilli; Caryophanales; Staphylococcaceae. The record is from RNAcentral.
UGAAAAGUAAAUUGGUGCGUAUACCUUACCAAAAGGAUGCAUCAAUCGAUAUCGUCGU